GCACAGUUUAUACCGUAGCUUGCUACACCAUAGACUGUGAGUUGCGAACGGGUGAGUAACGCGUAGGUAACCUACCUAUUAGAGGGGGAUAACUAUUGGAAACGAUAGCUAAUACCGCAUAACAGUAUGUAACACAUGUUAGAUGCUUGAAAGAUGCAAUUGCAUCGCUAGUAGAUGGACCUGCGUUGUAUUAGCUAGUAGGUAGGGUAAAGGCCUACCUAGGCAACGAUACAUAGCCGACCUGAGAGGGUGAUCGGCCACACUGGGACUGAGACACGGCCCAGACUCCUACGGGAGGCAGCAGUAGGGAAUCUUCGGCAAUGGGGGGAACCCUGACCGAGCAACGCCGCGUGAGUGAAGAAGGUUUUCGGAUCGUAAAGCUCUGUUGUUAAGGAAGAACGAGUGUGAGAAUGGAAAGUUCAUGCUGUGACGGUACUUAACCAGAAAGGGACGGCUAACUACGUGCCAGCAGCCGCGGUAAUACGUAGGUCCCGAGCGUUGUCCGGAUUUAUUGGGCGUAAAGCGAGCGCAGGCGGUUAGAAAAGUCUGAAGUGAAAGGCAGUGGCUCAACCAUUGUAGGCUUUGGAAACUGUUUAACUUGAGUGCAGAAGGGGAGAGUGGAAUUCCAUGUGUAGCGGUGAAAUGCGUAGAUAUAUGGAGGAA
RNAcentral lists this ribosomal RNA (663 nucleotides) under uncultured Bacilli bacterium. RNAcentral describes it as "bacterial SSU rRNA". It matches the Rfam family "Bacterial small subunit ribosomal RNA", at positions 61 to 706 of the family's 1533-position model. The record is from RNAcentral. Lineage: Bacteria; Bacillati; Bacillota; Bacilli.